This 2773-nucleotide ribosomal RNA is filed under the name Escherichia coli. RNAcentral's name for it is "bacterial LSU rRNA". It matches the Rfam family "Bacterial large subunit ribosomal RNA". The record is from RNAcentral. Lineage: Bacteria; Pseudomonadati; Pseudomonadota; Gammaproteobacteria; Enterobacterales; Enterobacteriaceae.
AGCGUACACGGUGGAUGCCCUGGCAGUCAGAGGCGAUGAAGGACGUGCUAAUCUGCGAUAAGCGUCGGUAAGGUGAUAUGAACCGUUAUAACCGGCGAUUUCCGAAUGGGGAAACCCAGUGUGUUUCGACACACUAUCAUUAACUGAAUCCAUAGGUUAAUGAGGCGAACCGGGGGAACUGAAACAUCUAAGUACCCCGAGGAAAAGAAAUCAACCGAGAUUCCCCCAGUAGCGGCGAGCGAACGGGGAGCAGCCCAGAGCCUGAAUCAGUGUGUGUGUUAGUGGAAGCGUCUGGAAAGGCGCGCGAUACAGGGUGACAGCCCCGUACACAAAAAUGCACAUGCUGUGAGCUCGAUGAGUAGGGCGGGACACGUGGUAUCCUGUCUGAAUAUGGGGGGACCAUCCUCCAAGGCUAAAUACUCCUGACUGACCGAUAGUGAACCAGUACCGUGAGGGAAAGGCGAAAAGAACCCCGGCGAGGGGAGUGAAAAAGAACCUGAAACCGUGUACGUACAAGCAGUGGGAGCACGCUUCGGCGUGUGACUGCGUACCUUUUGUAUAAUGGGUCAGCGACUUAUAUUCUGUAGCAAGGUUAACCGAAUAGGGGAGCCGAAGGGAAACCGAGUCUUAACUGGGCGUUAAGUUGCAGGGUAUAGACCCGAAACCCGGUGAUCUAGCCAUGGGCAGGUUGAAGGUUGGGUAACACUAACUGGAGGACCGAACCGACUAAUGUUGAAAAAUUAGCGGAUGACUUGUGGCUGGGGGUGAAAGGCCAAUCAAACCGGGAGAUAGCUGGUUCUCCCCGAAAGCUAUUUAGGUAGCGCCUCGUGAAUUCAUCUCCGGGGGUAGAGCACUGUUUCGGCAAGGGGGUCAUCCCGACUUACCAACCCGAUGCAAACUGCGAAUACCGGAGAAUGUUAUCACGGGAGACACACGGCGGGUGCUAACGUCCGUCGUGAAGAGGGAAACAACCCAGACCGCCAGCUAAGGUCCCAAAGUCAUGGUUAAGUGGGAAACGAUGUGGGAAGGCCCAGACAGCCAGGAUGUUGGCUUAGAAGCAGCCAUCAUUUAAAGAAAGCGUAAUAGCUCACUGGUCGAGUCGGCCUGCGCGGAAGAUGUAACGGGGCUAAACCAUGCACCGAAGCUGCGGCAGCGACGCUGAUGCGUUGUUGGGUAGGGGAGCGUUCUGUAAGCCUGCGAAGGUGUGCUGUGAGGCAUGCUGGAGGUAUCAGAAGUGCGAAUGCUGACAUAAGUAACGAUAAAGCGGGUGAAAAGCCCGCUCGCCGGAAGACCAAGGGUUCCUGUCCAACGUUAAUCGGGGCAGGGUGAGUCGACCCCUAAGGCGAGGCCGAAAGGCGUAGUCGAUGGGAAACAGGUUAAUAUUCCUGUACUUGGUGUUACUGCGAAGGGGGGACGGAGAAGGCUAUGUUGGCCGGGCGACGGUUGUCCCGGUUUAAGCGUGUAGGCUGGUUUUCCAGGCAAAUCCGGAAAAUCAAGGCUGAGGCGUGAUGACGAGGCACUACGGUGCUGAAGCAACAAAUGCCCUGCUUCCAGGAAAAGCCUCUAAGCAUCAGGUAACAUCAAAUCGUACCCCAAACCGACACAGGUGGUCAGGUAGAGAAUACCAAGGCGCUUGAGAGAACUCGGGUGAAGGAACUAGGCAAAAUGGUGCCGUAACUUCGGGAGAAGGCACGCUGAUAUGUAGGUGAGGUCCCUCGCGGAUGGAGCUGAAAUCAGUCGAAGAUACCAGCUGGCUGCAACUGUUUAUUAAAAACACAGCACUGUGCAAACACGAAAGUGGACGUAUACGGUGUGACGCCUGCCCGGUGCCGGAAGGUUAAUUGAUGGGGUUAGCGCAAGCGAAGCUCUUGAUCGAAGCCCCGGUAAACGGCGGCCGUAACUAUAACGGUCCUAAGGUAGCGAAAUUCCUUGUCGGGUAAGUUCCGACCUGCACGAAUGGCGUAAUGAUGGCCAGGCUGUCUCCACCCGAGACUCAGUGAAAUUGAACUCGCUGUGAAGAUGCAGUGUACCCGCGGCAAGACGGAAAGACCCCGUGAACCUUUACUAUAGCUUGACACUGAACAUUGAGCCUUGAUGUGUAGGAUAGGUGGGAGGCUUAGAAGUGUGGACGCCAGUCUGCAUGGAGCCGACCUUGAAAUACCACCCUUUAAUGUUUGAUGUUCUAACGUGGACCCGUAAUCCGGGUUGCGGACAGUGUCUGGUGGGUAGUUUGACUGGGGCGGUCUCCUCCUAAAGAGUAACGGAGGAGCACGAAGGUUGGCUAAUCCUGGUCGGACAUCAGGAGGUUAGUGCAAUGGCAUAAGCCAGCUUGACUGCGAGCGUGACGGCGCGAGCAGGUGCGAAAGCAGGUCAUAGUGAUCCGGUGGUUCUGAAUGGAAGGGCCAUCGCUCAACGGAUAAAAGGUACUCCGGGGAUAACAGGCUGAUACCGCCCAAGAGUUCAUAUCGACGGCGGUGUUUGGCACCUCGAUGUCGGCUCAUCACAUCCUGGGGCUGAAGUAGGUCCCAAGGGUAUGGCUGUUCGCCAUUUAAAGUGGUACGCGAGCUGGGUUUAGAACGUCGUGAGACAGUUCGGUCCCUAUCUGCCGUGGGCGCUGGAGAACUGAGGGGGGCUGCUCCUAGUACGAGAGGACCGGAGUGGACGCAUCACUGGUGUUCGGGUUGUCAUGCCAAUGGCACUGCCCGGUAGCUAAAUGCGGAAGAGAUAAGUGCUGAAAGCAUCUAAGCACGAAACUUGCCCCGAGAUGAGUUCU